Small nuclear RNA from Macleaya cordata, 127 nucleotides. It matches the Rfam family "U11 spliceosomal RNA". The record is from Rfam. Lineage: Eukaryota; Viridiplantae; Streptophyta; Magnoliopsida; Ranunculales; Papaveraceae.
UAAAAGGGUCGGUUGGCUAAAUAUGCCACGCUCACCCUCGUCUGGUGAGUGCUGUAUGGCUAUCAAGACAUAUGGCCGACAAAAUUUGUGGAAUUCAAUAGGGUUGGCUCGCCCGGCCGACCCUCCA